This is a non-coding RNA of Phrynosoma platyrhinos (Desert horned lizard), 72 nucleotides long. The record is from the annotation of a GenBank genome assembly. Lineage: Eukaryota; Metazoa; Chordata; Lepidosauria; Squamata; Phrynosomatidae.
ACCAGUGUGGCAUAGUGGUUUGAGUGUUGGACUAAGACUCUGGGGGCCAGAGUUUGAUUCCCAGCUCGGCCA